This is a long non-coding RNA of Physella acuta, 342 nucleotides long. RefSeq lists it as uncharacterized. The record is from RefSeq and is a predicted model, not a curated record. Lineage: Eukaryota; Metazoa; Mollusca; Gastropoda; Physidae.
AGAAGCAACAUGAAAACUAUCGUAGUCUUACUCGCAUUAUGCAUUGCCUGCUCUCUAGCACAGACUGAAGAUGGUUCGUGUGAGGUGGACGGCACGGUCUAUGCUGAAGGAGAACUGACCCCUGACCCCUGCAACAGGUGCCGUUGCUGGGGAGGUCUGGUCGUCUGCAACAGACGAGGCUGCCCAACAGACGGUGAACGAAGACCACUCUCCAAGUAACAACAUUAUGACCAGUCGUCCAGUUCACUGUCCAGAUGAACUGACACCAGAUUAAAUUAAAACUAUUUCUGAAGUCGUCUUUCCUAAAUUUAGACUGUCUCGAUUGUAUUUUAUGUUCUAAAA